CCGAAGUUAAGCGUGCUUGGGCGAGAAUAGUACUAGGAUGGGUGACCUCCUGGGAAGUCCUCGUGUUGCACCCCUGGG
Molecule: ribosomal RNA, 78 nt
Filed under: Callistemon viminalis
Lineage: Eukaryota; Viridiplantae; Streptophyta; Magnoliopsida; Myrtales; Myrtaceae
Source: RNAcentral